AAAGUCUAUAGAUAGUAAGCUCCCGAAAAUAAAAGAUCUAGGGAUAGUAUAUGGUGUUGCAUUUAACACUGUACUGUUGCAUUAGUACAGAAAAAUACAUCUCUAGGGGUGAAAGAUCCUCACUUUUAUAGAUAUCUGGACGAAUACAAAAUAAAUUUAGUUUAUAAUAUAAUUACAGUGUGAUAAGAUAGUGUAAUAGGAAUUUGUAAUAUUUAUAUUAAAGCCAUUAAUUAUUACUUAGCGGCAUAAAUCAUUCUAGUAAUACAUCUAAACUCAAAAUUCUAUAAUAAUAUUUAUUCCUGCUUAUACUUUAAAAGUGGAUGUAUAAUGUAUAAAUUAGUAAUAAUAAUAAAUUUAUUGAAGGAACUCGGCAAACAUACUAUACGACUGUUUAACAAAAACAUAGCCAGCAGGUAUUUAAUUGUUGGUGUGACCUGCCCAGUGACUAAAUUUAACGGCCGCAGUACCCUGACUGUGCAAAGGUAGCAUAAUAACUUGGCUUUUAAUUGAAGUCUGGUAUGAAAGGAAAAACGUAUAGUUACUGUCUCCACACAUAAUUUAAAUUAAGUUACUUAUAAGGUGAAAAUUCCUUAAUAUUAAACAAUAGACGAGAAGACCCUUAGAAUUUUAAGAAUAACCUAUAGCUUAAAUGGAAUGAUUUUUGUUGGGGCAACACUUUUUCAUAAAAUAAAAAGCUUAAUAAGCAACAUAACGAAUAGGUUUAAUAAAGUAUAAAUUACCUAAGGGAUAACAGCAUAAUUUUAAUUAAAGAUUGUGACCUCGAUGUUGGACUAGGAACUAUUAAGGCUAAUCGUUUUAAUAUAAUAGGUUCUGUUCGAACUUUAUUUCCUA
RNAcentral lists this ribosomal RNA (852 nucleotides) under Montenegrina sturanyana sturanyana. RNAcentral describes it as "partial 16S ribosomal RNA". The stretch from base 346 to 593 matches the Rfam family "Archaeal large subunit ribosomal RNA", at positions 1787 to 2143 of the family's 2987-position model. The record is from RNAcentral. Lineage: Eukaryota; Metazoa; Mollusca; Gastropoda; Stylommatophora; Clausiliidae.